AGCGAACGCUGGCGGUAGGCCUAACACAUGCAAGUCGAACGGCAGCACAGUAAGAGCUUGCUCUUAUGGGUGGCGAGUGGCGGACGGGUGAGGAAUAUAUCGGAAUCUACUUUUUCGUGGGGGAUAACGUAGGGAAACUUACGCUAAUACCGCAUACGACCUACGGGUGAAAGCAGGGGAUCUUCGGACCUUGCGCGAAUGAAUGAGCCGAUGUCGGAGUAGCUAGUUGGCGGGGUAAAAGCCCACCAAGGGGGCGAUCGGUAGCUGGUGAGAGGGGGGGUAGCGCGACUGAGAAGGUGAGACGCGGCCCAGGGUCCUACAGGAGGCAGCGGUGGGUAAGAUAGGACACUGGGGGGAAGCCUGAACCAUCCAUGGCACGUGGAUGAAGAAGGCCUUCGGGUUGUAAAGCCCUUUUGUUGGGAAAGAAAGGCAGCAGGUUAAAACCCGGCUGUUCUAACGGAACCCAAAGAGUAGGCACCGGCAAACUUCGG
This 491-nucleotide ribosomal RNA is filed under the name uncultured bacterium. RNAcentral's name for it is "partial 16S ribosomal RNA". It matches the Rfam family "Bacterial small subunit ribosomal RNA", at positions 30 to 506 of the family's 1533-position model. The record is from RNAcentral.